RNAcentral lists this ribosomal RNA (490 nucleotides) under uncultured bacterium. Its description in RNAcentral is "partial 16S ribosomal RNA". It matches the Rfam family "Bacterial small subunit ribosomal RNA", at positions 29 to 507 of the family's 1533-position model. The record is from RNAcentral.
AGUGAACGCUGGCGGUAGGCCUAACACAUGCAAGUCGAACGGCAGCACAGGAGAGCUUGCUCUCUGGGUGGCGAGUGGCGGACGGGUGAGGAAUACAUCGGAAUCUGCCCAGUCGUGGGGGAUAACGUAGGGAAACUUACGCUAAUACCGCAUACGACCUUCGGGUGAAAGAGGGGGAUCGCAAGACCUCUCGCGAUUGGAUGAGCCGAUGUCGGAUUAGCUAGUUGGCGGGGUAAUGGCCCACCAAGGCGACGAUCCGUAGCUGGUCGGAGAGGAUGAUCAGCCACACUGGAACUGAGACACGGUCCAGACUCCUACGGGAGGCAGCAGUGGGGAAUAUUGGACAAUGGGCGCAAGCCUGAUCCAGCCAUACCGCGUGGGUGAAGAAGGCCUUCGGGUUGUAAAGCCCUUUUGUUGGGAAAGAAAUCUUUCAGGCUAAUACCCUGGGAGGAUGACGGUACCCAAAGAAUAAGCACCGGCUAACUUCGUG